GAUGAACGCUGGCGGCGUGCCUAAUACAUGCAAGUCGAGCGAACGGACGAGAAGCUUGCUUCUCUGAUGUUAGCGGCGGACGGGUGAGUAACACGUGGAUAACCUACCUAUAAGACUGGGAUAACUUCGGGAAACCGGAGCUAAUACCGGAUAAUAUUUUGAACCGCAUGGUUCAAAAGUGAAAGACGGUCUUGCUGUCACUUAUAGAUGGAUCCGCGCUGCAUUAGCUAGUUGGUAAGGUAACGGCUUACCAAGGCAACGAUGCAUAGCCGACCUGAGAGGGUGAUCGGCCACACUGGAACUGAGACACGGUCCAGACUCCUACGGGAGGCAGCAGUAGGGAAUCUUCCGCAAUGGGCGAAAGCCUGACGGAGCAACGCCGCGUGAGUGAUGAAGGUCUUCGGAUCGUAAAACUCUGUUAUUAGGGGAGAACAUAUGUGUAAGUAACUGUGCACAUCUUGACGGUACCUAAUCAGAAAGCCACGGCUAACUACGUG
Molecule: ribosomal RNA, 497 nt
Filed under: uncultured bacterium
Lineage: Bacteria
Description: partial 16S ribosomal RNA
Rfam family: Bacterial small subunit ribosomal RNA
Source: RNAcentral